AUACUAACCUGGCAGGGGGGAUAUCAUAACCAGGAAGGUGGUUUUCCAGGGGCAAGUGUUAUUUUUUGCACUCUAGAUAUGCUGACUUUCUUCGAUUCCCUCAAACGUGGGAACUUUGACUGUAUAUUUUGUAGUAGUGGUGCCCUGUGUUUGCCCUUUCCCCUG
Molecule: small nuclear RNA, 165 nt
Organism: Suncus etruscus (white-toothed pygmy shrew)
Lineage: Eukaryota; Metazoa; Chordata; Mammalia; Eulipotyphla; Soricidae
Product: U1 spliceosomal RNA
Exons: 1
Source: RefSeq, a predicted model, not a curated record